ACAGUAUUUUCUAAAGGUCAUCAAGCACUACAUCGUGCAGGUGUGACGGUAUGAAGGAGUGUGAACUAAACAUCAACGUUUUCUAUACCUCUGAUCCCUGCUAUGGCAUCUACAAAUACCUGGAAACCACCUAUACCUGCCUCCCUGAAGUUCACCUUGUUGCCUGUGAGGGCUCUUUGGCGCAACUCCAGUGUGGUAAUAUUUCUUUUUUGCAUUCAUGGUGAAUUGAUGUGAUGAACAUCAGAC
This is a long non-coding RNA of Sander lucioperca (pikeperch), 246 nucleotides long. RefSeq lists it as uncharacterized. The transcript has 3 exons. The record is from RefSeq and is a predicted model, not a curated record. Lineage: Eukaryota; Metazoa; Chordata; Actinopteri; Perciformes; Percidae.